This 500-nucleotide ribosomal RNA is filed under the name uncultured bacterium. RNAcentral describes it as "bacterial SSU rRNA". It matches the Rfam family "Bacterial small subunit ribosomal RNA", at positions 28 to 523 of the family's 1533-position model. The record is from RNAcentral.
GAUGAACGCUAGCGGCAGGCCUAAUACAUGCAAGACGAACGGUAAGCUGAGUAGCAAUACUUAGCCAAGAGUGUCGUACGGGUGCGUAACACGUAUGCAACCUACCCUAUACAGGAGGAUAGCCUAGGGAAACCUGGAUUAACCCUUCAUAGUAUUAUUGGAUGGCAUCAUUUGAUAAUUAAAACUGAGGUGGUAUAGGAUGGGCAUGCGUCUGAUUAGUUAGUUGGCGGGGUAAUGGCCCACCAAGACGAUGAUCAGUAGGGGUUCUGAGAGGAAGAUCCCCCACACUGGCACUGAGAUACGGGCCAGACUCCUACGGGAGGCAGCAGUAGGGAAUAUUGGUCAAUGGAUGCAAGUCUGAACCAGCCAUGCCGCGUGCAGGAAGAAGGCCUUCUGGGUUGUAAAACUGCUUUUGCCAGGGGAUAAAAUUUCCAUGCGUGGAAAACUGAAGGUACCUGGUGAAUAAGCCACGGCUAACUACGUGCCAGCAGCCGCGGUAA